Molecule: transfer RNA, 73 nt
Filed under: Camelus bactrianus (Bactrian camel)
Lineage: Eukaryota; Metazoa; Chordata; Mammalia; Artiodactyla; Camelidae
Also listed under: 2 other names
Rfam family: tRNA
About the family: Transfer RNA (tRNA) molecules are approximately 80 nucleotides in length.
Source: Rfam by way of RNAcentral
GAGGGUAUAGCUCAAGUGGUAGAGCAAGUACUUAGCAUGCACAAGGUCCUGGGUUCAAUCCCCAGUGCCUCCA